This 446-nucleotide ribosomal RNA is filed under the name uncultured bacterium. RNAcentral describes it as "partial 16S ribosomal RNA". It matches the Rfam family "Bacterial small subunit ribosomal RNA", at positions 29 to 523 of the family's 1533-position model. The record is from RNAcentral.
AGCGAACGCUGGCGGCAGGCCUAACACAUGCAAGUCGAACGGUCCUUCGGGAUAGUGGCGGACGGGUGAGUAACACGUGGGAACGUGCCUUUUGGUUCGGAACAACUUGGGGAAACUUAAGCUAUACCGGAUGUGCCCUUAGGGGGAGAGAUUUAUCGCCAUUAGAGCGGCCCGCGUCUGAUUAGCUAGUUGGUGGGGUAAAGGCCUACCAAGGCGACGAUCAGUAGCUGGUCUGAGAGGAUGAUCAGCCACAUUGGGACUGAGACACGGCCCAAACUCCUACGGGGGGCAGCAGUGGGGAAUCUUGCGCAAUGGGCGAAAGCCUGACGCAGCCAUGCCGCGUGAAUGAUGAAGGUCUUAGGAUUGUAAAAUUCUUUCACCGGGGACGAUAAUGACGGUACCCGGAGAAGAAGCCCCGGCUAACUUCGUGCCAGCCGCCGCGGUAA